This is a long non-coding RNA of Siniperca chuatsi (mandarin fish), 400 nucleotides long. RefSeq lists it as uncharacterized. Lineage: Eukaryota; Metazoa; Chordata; Actinopteri; Centrarchiformes; Sinipercidae. The transcript has 3 exons. The record is from RefSeq and is a predicted model, not a curated record.
UUUCUCAGAGUACAUCCUCUGAGCAGCACCUUGUCAUUGUCCAAAGCGUAGGUUUGUCCGUUCAGAGUCAUGGUUCCUUUGAACUUGUCUAGACGGUUAUUGGGAGACUCACAUCGCACUUCACCUGAAAGAGACAGAGCUUCUCACCAUUGAAGCUAGCCAGAGCAUGGAUGCUGUCUCCCAUCUCUCCAGUUACGGUCAGGGCCUGUUUCACCUUCAGAUUGGUUUCACUGGGGGAGACCAAGAGGACAUGAGAAGGAUGCAACUGAAGGGAAAUCCCAGACAGUAUCGUUAUAAUUUCUGCUUACUAUGUCAUCGCUGGCGUCUUUGACUGCUGUGAUGGACAGCACCAAAAUCAGAGGGACAGCCGUGGUGAACCAGGAGAGAGAGGAGAUUUGUG